GACGAACGCUGGCGGCGUGCUUAACACAUGCAAGUCGAACGAUGAUGCCAGCUUGCUGGUGGAUUAGUGGCGAACGGGUGAGUAACACGUGAGUAACCUGCCCCUUACUUCGGGAUAACCAUUGGAAACGGUGGCUAAUACUGGAUAUGAGACAUGGCCGCAUGGUCUGUGUUUGGAAAGAUUUAUCGGUAGGGGAUGGACUCGCGGCCUAUUAGCUUGUUGGUGGGGUAAUGGCCUACCAAGGCUUUGACGGGUAGCCGGCCUGAGAGGGCGACCGGCCACACUGGGACUGAGAUACGGCCCAG
Molecule: ribosomal RNA, 305 nt
Filed under: uncultured bacterium
Lineage: Bacteria
Description: bacterial SSU rRNA
Rfam family: Bacterial small subunit ribosomal RNA
Source: RNAcentral